RNAcentral lists this ribosomal RNA (746 nucleotides) under Neodevriesia lagerstroemiae. RNAcentral describes it as "eukaryotic LSU rRNA". It matches the Rfam family "Eukaryotic large subunit ribosomal RNA", at positions 95 to 871 of the family's 3401-position model. Lineage: Eukaryota; Fungi; Ascomycota; Dothideomycetes; Mycosphaerellales; Neodevriesiaceae. The record is from RNAcentral.
GAAGCGGCAACAGCUCAAAUUUGAAAUCUGGCGCAAGCCCGAGUUGUAAUUUGUAGAGGAUGCUUCUAGGCAGCGGCCGGUCUAAGUUCCUUGGAACAGGACGUCAUAGAGGGUGAGAAUCCCGUAUGUGACCGGUUGGCACCUUCCACGUAGCUCCUUCGACGAGUCGAGUUGUUUGGGAAUGCAGCUCUAAAUGGGAGGUAAAUUUCUUCUAAAGCUAAAUACCGGCCAGAGACCGAUAGCGCACAAGUAGAGUGAUCGAAAGAUGAAAAGCACUUUGGAAAGAGAGUUAAAAAGCACGUGAAAUUGUUGAAAGGGAAGCGCUUGCGACCAGACUUGUCGGCGGUGUUCCGCCGGUCUUCUGACCGGUCUACUCGCCGUCGGCAGGCCAGCAUCAUCUGGGGCCGCCGGAUAAAGGCUUUGGGAAUGUAGCUCCCCUCGGGGAGUGUUAUAGCCCUUUGCACAAUACGGUGCGCCUCGGGUGAGGUCCGCGUCUAGGCAAGGAUGCUGGCGUAAUGGUUGUAAGCGGCCCGUCUUGAAACACGGACCAAGGAGUCGAUUAUCUAUGCGAGUGUUCGGGCGUCAAACCCCUACGCGUAAUGAAAGUGAACGGAGGUGGGAACUACGGUGCACCAUCGACCGAUCCGGAUGUCUUCGGAUGGAUUUGAGUAAGAGCAUAGCUAAUCGGACCCGAAAGAUGGUGAACUAUGCCUGAAUAGGGUGAAGCCAGAGGAAACUCUGGUGGA